RNAcentral lists this ribosomal RNA (741 nucleotides) under uncultured archaeon ST1-3. RNAcentral describes it as "bacterial SSU rRNA". It matches the Rfam family "Archaeal small subunit ribosomal RNA", at positions 127 to 853 of the family's 1478-position model. The record is from RNAcentral.
AAACCCCGGGAAACUGGGGCUAACUCUAGAUAGGUGAAGAACUCUGGAAUGAGUCUUUGCCUAAAUAGGUUCACGUUAUCCUCGUGAACUUGCCUAAGGAUGAGGCCGCGACCGAUCAGGUUGUUGGCGAGGUAAUGGCUCACCAAGCCUUUUACCGGUGCGGGCCGUGGGAGCGGGAGCCCGGAGAUGGGUACUGAGACAAGGACCCAGGCCCUACGGGGCGCAGCAGUCGCGAAACCUUUGCAAUACACGAAAGUGUGACAGGGCUAUCCCGAGUGCCAUCCGCUGAGGAAGGCUUUUACCCAGUCUAGAACGCUGGGGGAAUAAGGAGAGGGCAAGUCUGGUGUCAGCCGCCGCGGUAAUACCAGCUCUCCGAGUGGUGUGGAUGUUUAUUGAGCCUAAAGCAUCCGUAGCUGGCUAGGUAAGUCCCUUGUUAAAUCCACCGAAUUAAUCGCUGGAUCGCGGGGGAUACUGCUUGGCUAGGGGACGAGAGAGGCAGACGGUAUUCUCGGGGUAGGGGUGAAAUCCUAUAAUCCCGGGAAGACCACCAGUGGCGAAGGCUGUCUGCUAGAACGCGCCCGACGGUGAGGGAUGAAAGCUGGGGGAGCGAACCGGAUUAGAUACCCGGGUAGUCCCAGCUGUAAACGAUGCAGACUAGGUGUUUGGACGGCCACGUGCCGUUCUAGUGCCGCAGGGAAGCUGUUAAGUCUGCCGCGUGGGGAGUACGAUCGCAAGAGGAAA